Molecule: long non-coding RNA, 1268 nt
Filed under: Zonotrichia albicollis (white-throated sparrow)
Lineage: Eukaryota; Metazoa; Chordata; Aves; Passeriformes; Passerellidae
Description: lncRNA (ENSZALG00000001928.1)
Source: RNAcentral
UUUGGGGUCUCCGUGGGUUCCUCACACCCCAGAGACCCCAUAAUGACAUCAGGAGCUGUUCCAGAGUGUCCCCAUUGUUCUUCACAAACCCCCCUGAGAUGUGGCCACCACAAAUUUCCCAUUUCUUUAACAUCCCACCAGGGCUUUUGAGGUGUCCAUGGGUUCCUCACCCCCCAGAGACUCCAUAACUGCAUCUGGAUCCCUUCUAGAAGGUCCCCAUGGUUCUCCACAAACCCCCCUGAGAUGUUUCCACCACAAAUUUCCCCCUUCCCCUCAGCCCAGAAGAACUUUUGAGGUCUCCAUGGAUUUGUGCCCCCCCAGAGACUCCAUAACUGCACCUGGAUCCCUUCUAGAAGGUCCCCAUGGUUCUCCACAAACCCCCCUGAGAUGUUUCCACCACAAAUUCCCGCCCUUCCCCUCCCCCUAGAAGAACCGUUCCAGCGCCCCUUUGUCCCCCAACCCCUGGAGACCCCAUAACUGCAUCUGGAUCCCUUCCAGAGCGUCCCCUCGAACCCCCCUGAGAUGUUUCCACCACNUCCUGGGGAGGAGAUGGGGGAGGGGGAUGGAGGAGCCUGGAGUGAUGGGGGAGGGGAUGGGGGGAGCUGGAGGGUCCUGGUGGCUUUGGGACAUCCUGGGACAUCCUGGGACACUCUGGGGUGGCUUUGGGACAUCCUGGGACAUCGUUGGGUGGCUUUGGGACAUCCUGAAAGGGACAAUCUGUGGUGGCUUUGGGACAUCCUUGGGUGGCUUUGGGACAUCCUGAAGGGACACCCUGGGACACCCAUGGGACACCCUGAGAGCUCCUGGGACACCCAGGGGUGGCUCUGAAGAGUCCUGAGGUGGCUUUGGGACAUCCAUGGGACAUCCAGGGGUGGCUUUGGGACACCCAGGGGUGGCUCUGGGACACCCUGGGACACCCUGGAGGGGACACCCAUGGGACACCCAUUGGUGGCUUUGGGACACCUUGGGGUGGCCUUGGGACAUCCAUGGGACACCCUGGAGGGGAUAACCUGAGGUGGCUCUGGGACAUCUGUGGGACACCCAUGGGACACCCUGGGGUGGCUUUGGGACAUCCAUGGGACACCUUGAAGUGACAACCUCGGGUGGGUCUGGGGCACCCAUGGGACACCCUGAGAGCUCCUGGGACACCCUGGGGUGGCUUUGGGACAUCCUGGGACAUCCUUGGGACACCCAGGAGUGGCUUGGGGUCAACCAGGAGGGGACACCCUGGGGUGGCUUUGGGACACCUGUGGGGACAUUGAUGGGAC